Artibeus jamaicensis (Jamaican fruit-eating bat) is the source of this 111-nucleotide small nuclear RNA. The record is from RefSeq and is a predicted model, not a curated record. Lineage: Eukaryota; Metazoa; Chordata; Mammalia; Chiroptera; Phyllostomidae.
GUACUUGCUUUGGCAGCACAAAUACUAAAAUUGGAAAUGAUACAGAGAAGAUUAUUAGCAUGGCCCCUGCUCAAGGGUAACACACAAACUCAUGAAGCAUUCCAUAUUUUU